Molecule: ribosomal RNA, 492 nt
Filed under: uncultured bacterium
Lineage: Bacteria
Description: partial 16S ribosomal RNA
Rfam family: Bacterial small subunit ribosomal RNA
Source: RNAcentral
AGUGAACGCUGGCGGUAGGCCUAACACAUGCAAGUCGAACGGCAGCACAGUAAGAGCUUGCUCUUACGGGUGGCGAGUGGCGGACGGGUGAGGAAUACAUCGGAAUCUACUUUUUCGUGCGGGAUAACGUAGGGACACUUACGCUACUACCGCAUACGACCUACGGGUGCAAGCAGGGGAUCUUCGGACCUUGCGCGGUUGAAUGAGCCGAUGUCGGGUUAGAUACUUGGCGGGGUAAAGUCCCACCAAUGCGACGCUCCGUAGCUGGUCUGAGAGGAUGAACAGCCACACUUGAACUGAGACACGGUCCAGCCUCCUACGGGAGGCAGCAGUGGGGAAUAUUGGACAAUGGGGGCAAUCCUGAUCCAGCCAUACCGCAUGCGUGAAGAAGGCCUUCGGGUUGUAAAGCCCUUUUGUUGGGAAAGAAAAGCAGCAGGUUAAUACCCCGCUGUUCUGACGGUACCCAAAGAAUAAGCACCGGCUAACUUCGUG